CAUUAAACGCCUAAAACAUACGCGACCCCCUGUUUUAGGAGAAGGGCACAAAGUCUCUUCCUUUACCAUCCCGCACGUUCCGCCCCGGGUCGGGUCAAUGUCAAUAACGACGGGAACUGUUUAUAAUCAUCCAAGUUCACACCAACUACUUGAGAGAUCUCUUAAUUCAAACUGUUGAGAUACAUUUUUAGGGUUUUAAUCAAAAUCACGUGGAGAUGAUUGAGAAUGAGAGCUCUUCCUUUGAUUACCGGAGCAUUCGAGAAGUCGCUUGCAACGCCGCCGCCGGAGCCACCGCGGGGGCGAUCGCGGCGACUUUUGUUUGUCCAUUGGAUGUGAUCAAAACGAGGUUACAGGUUGUUGGUCUCCCGGAAGCUCCAGCCUCGGGGAAGAGAGGUAGCGUGAUCAUUACAAGCCUACAGGGUAUAGUUAAGAAGGACGGUUUUAGGGGAAUGUAUCGAGGUCUUUCACCAACCAUCAUUGCUCUCCUUCCCAAUUGGGCUGUUUACUUCUCUGUUUAUGGGAAGCUAAAGGAUGUACUUCAGUCAAGUGAUGGCAAGCUUAGUGUUGGGGCAAACAUGGUAGCGGCUGCUGGUGCCGGAGCUGCCACUUCUAUUGCAACUAAUCCACUUUGGGUUGUCAAGACAAGACUAAUGACACAAGGAAUUAGGACGGAUGUGGUACCUUACAAAAGCAUUAUAUCUGCUUUUAGUAGGAUUUGUCAUGAAGAAGGAUUGCGAGGGCUUUACAGUGGCAUUUUACCUUCUUUGGCGGGGAUUAGCCAUGUUGCAAUCCAGUUUCCAGCAUAUGAAAAGAUCAAGCAAUACAUGGCAAACAUAGAUAAUACAUCCGUCGAUAAUCUAAGUCCUGGCAGUGUAGCUAUUGCCUCUUCAAUCGCGAAAGUACUCGCCUCUGUUUUGACUUACCCACACGAGGUAAUUAGAGCCAAACUUCAAGAACAAGGGCAAAUGAGAAACGCUGAGACUAAGUAUUCCGGAGUUGUUGAUUGCGUCAAGAAGGUGUUUAGAAGCGAAGGGAUUCCUGGAAUGUACCGUGGAUGUGCCACUAAUCUAUUAAGGACAACUCCAUCAGCAGUUAUUACAUUUACAACCUAUGAGAUGAUGCUGAGAUUUUUCCGACAAGUUGUGCCACCAGAGACUAAUAAAUCAUACAAUCACAAUAGAGAAGAAGAAACGAAAAGUUUAGUUAGUCGACAGGGAGCAGAAGAAGAAGAGAGCUUGAGAGAAUCACAAACUCAAUCUAAUAAGAUCAACACUUCACCUAUCCCUCUUGGAAGCAAAUAAGGCUUGUUUUCAGACUGGAGACAUGCUCAUAGUCCUAAGUUUUCUUGUUUCAGUUGAGUGAUUUUUCCCCUUGCGGUGAUCAAGUUGUAACCUGAUCUCGUCGUUCUAACAAAUGUUGUGAGAUGUAUAGAAAGCGAUUUGAGUAUUUCAAAUGUAGAUGCUUUGGAUGUAAUUUUGUGGACUUUAAUGAUAGAGGCUGCAAGAAAAGGAAGAGGAUUUGGUUUCCUUGUUCUUUCUCAGUACUGGGGGCGCUUCACCUACCACGAGGUAACAGAAUCUUCUUAUCGGGCUUUAAGCAGAACUAAUGGAAGGCACCUGGUUCUGGUUAGAGAGAUUUUUUUUACAGCCUUUGGAAUCUUUUCUUUUAUACCAAUGAUGCAUGCAAAUUAGUUUCUGGUUGACUCAGUAGAUGCUAUUGGCAUCAUUAUGGAGCUGAUUGGUGCGAGUAAUCUUAGUCAAGCAAACUCUUAGUCAAUUUUUUUUUUUUUUUGUUCAUUUGAGUUAAUAUUACAUACAGAUACAGUCACAUAUAUUGAGUAUGGUAGACAAAAUUAGACAUAGAAAAUUCGUGAUUAGUAGUUCAAGUUAAGUCA
Molecule: RNA transcript, 1894 nt
Organism: Brassica napus (rape)
Lineage: Eukaryota; Viridiplantae; Streptophyta; Magnoliopsida; Brassicales; Brassicaceae
Gene name: nicotinamide adenine dinucleotide transporter 2, mitochondrial
Exons: 10
Source: RefSeq, a predicted model, not a curated record